UGGGGAAUAUUGGACAAUGGAGGCAACUCUGAUCCAGCAAUUCUGUGUGUGUGAAGAAGGUUUUAGGACUGUAAAACACUUUUAGUAGGGAAGAAAGAAAUGACGGUACCUACAGAAGAAGCGACGGCUAAAUACGUGCCGGCAGCCGCGGUAAUACGUAUGUCGCGAGCGUUAUCCGGAAUUAUUGGGCUUAAGGGCAUCUAGGCGGUUAAACAAGUUGAAGGUGAAAACCUGUGGCUCAACCAUAGGCUUGCCUACAAAACUGUAUAACUAGAGUACUGGAAAGGUGGGUGGAACUACACGAGUAGAGGUGAAAUUCGUAGAUAUGUGUAGGAAUGCCGAUGAUGAAGAUAACUCACUGGACAGCAACUGACGCUGAAGUGCGAAAGCUAGGGGAGCAAACAGG
Molecule: ribosomal RNA, 406 nt
Filed under: Verrucomicrobiota bacterium
Lineage: Bacteria; Pseudomonadati; Verrucomicrobiota
Description: Verrucomicrobia bacterium partial 16S ribosomal RNA
Rfam family: Bacterial small subunit ribosomal RNA
Source: RNAcentral